This 69-nucleotide transfer RNA is filed under the name Callithrix penicillata (black-pencilled marmoset). RNAcentral describes it as "tRNA-Glu". Lineage: Eukaryota; Metazoa; Chordata; Mammalia; Primates; Cebidae. The record is from RNAcentral.
UAUUCCCACAUGGGCUAUAACCAUGACUAAUGAUAUGAAAAACCAUCGUUGUACUUCAACUAUAAGAAU